GACGAACGCUGGCGGCGUGCUUAACACAUGCAAGUCGAGCGAGGCCCCUCCUCCUGGGGGGUGUCCUAGCGGCGAACGGGUGAGUAACACGCGGGCAACCUGCCCCCUGCUCUGGGAUAACUCCGGGAAACCGGGGCUAUUAUCGGAUACGACCUCUCCGGGCACCUGCGGUGGUGGAAAGUUUUUCGGCUGAGGAUGGGCCCGCGGCCUAUCAGCUAGUUGGUGGGGUAGUGGUCCACCAAGGCGACGACGGGUAGCCGGCCUGAGAGGGCGACCGGCCACACUGGGACUGAGACACGGCCCAGACUCCUACGGGAGGCAGCAGUGGGGAAUAUUGCGCAAUGGGCGGAAGCCUGACGCAGCGACGCCGCGUGAGGGACGAAGGCCUUCGGGUUGUAAACCUCUUUCGGCAGGGACGAAGCGAAAGUGACGGUACCUGCAGAAGAAGCACCGGCCAACUACGUG
This 465-nucleotide ribosomal RNA is filed under the name uncultured bacterium. RNAcentral's name for it is "partial 16S ribosomal RNA". It matches the Rfam family "Bacterial small subunit ribosomal RNA", at positions 28 to 507 of the family's 1533-position model. The record is from RNAcentral.